CCUACGGGAGGCAGCAGUGGGGAAUAUUGGACAAUGGGCGCAAGCCUGAUCCAGCCAUGCCGCGUGUGUGAAGAAGGCCUUCGGGUUGUAAAGCACUUUUAUCCGGAAAGAAAAGCUUUGGGUUAAUACCCUGAAGUCAUGACGGUACCGGAAGAAUAAGCACCGGCUAACUUCGUGCCAGCAGCCGCGGUAAUACGAAGGGUGCAAGCGUUACUCGGAAUUACUGGGCGUAAAGCGUGCGUAGGUGGUUUGUUAAGUCUGAUGUGAAAGCCCUAGGCUCAACCUGGGAAUUGCAUUGGAUACUGGCAGGCUAGAGUGCGGUAGAGGAUAGUGGAAUUCCCGGUGUAGCAGUGAAAUGCGUAGAGAUCGGGAGGAACAUCUGUGGCGAAGGCGACUAUCUGGGCCAGCACUGACACUGAGGCACGAAAGCGUGGGGAGCAAACAGGAUUAGAUACCCUGGUAGUCCACGCCCUAAACGAUGCGAACUGGAUGUUGGGUGCAACUAGGCACUCAGUAUCGAAGCUAACGCGUUAAGUUCGCCGCCUGGGGAGUACGGUCGCGAAGACUGAAACUUAAAUGAAUUGACGG
RNAcentral lists this ribosomal RNA (588 nucleotides) under uncultured bacterium. RNAcentral describes it as "bacterial SSU rRNA". It matches the Rfam family "Bacterial small subunit ribosomal RNA", at positions 338 to 916 of the family's 1533-position model. The record is from RNAcentral.